Non-coding RNA from Obba rivulosa, 95 nucleotides. The record is from the annotation of a GenBank genome assembly. Lineage: Eukaryota; Fungi; Basidiomycota; Agaricomycetes; Polyporales; Gelatoporiaceae.
GGCCCAAUGGUCUAGAGGUAAGAUACUUGCUUUGGGCGGUUCCUACGGGAGCACACAACUGCAAGGGAUCCCGGGUUCGAAUCCCGGUUGGGCCC